This 391-nucleotide ribosomal RNA is filed under the name uncultured bacterium. RNAcentral describes it as "bacterial SSU rRNA". It matches the Rfam family "Bacterial small subunit ribosomal RNA", at positions 29 to 417 of the family's 1533-position model. The record is from RNAcentral.
AUUGAACGCUGGCGGAAUGCUUUACACAUGCAAGUCGAGCGGCAGCGCGGGGGCAACCCUGGCGACGAGCGGCGAACGGGUGAGUAAUACAUCGGAACGUGUCCUGGAGUGGGGGAUAGCUCGGCGAAAGCCGGAUUAAUACCGCAUAAGCUCUGAGGAGGAAAGCGGGGGACCGGUAACGGCCUCGCGCUGUUGGAGCGGCCGAUGUCGGAUUAGCUAGUUGGUGGGGUAAAGGCCCACCAAGGCGACGAUCCCGUAGCUGGUCUGAGAGGAUGAUCAGCCACACUGGAACUGAGACACGGUCCAGACUCCUACGGGAGGCAGCAGUGGGGAAUUUUGGACAAGUGGGGGCAACCCUGAUCCAGCCAUUCCGCGUGAGUGAAGAAGGCCU